UGGCUGGUCUGAAAUGCAUGAGUGCACCCUGCUGUAGCAGCGUCUUCAGUGUGAUAAGUAUCUUCACUGAUUCAAGCUCCCCUGUGGGACACGCUUGUCUGGUGGGCUCUGUGCUUCUAACUGUCCGCAUGGACAAUUCUUGACAAUUUGACCUCAAAUCGGGUGGGACUACCCGCUGAACUUAAGCAUAUCAAUAAGCGGAGGAAAAGAAACUAACAAGGAUUCCCCUAGUAACGGCGAGUGAAGAGGGAAAAGCUCAAAUUUUGAAUCUGGUACCUUUGGUGCCCGAGUUGUAAUCUAGAGAAGUGUUUUCUGCCUCGGACCACGCAUAAAUUCCCUGGAAUGGGGUGUCAUAGAGGGUGAGAAUCCCGUUUGUGGUGUGGACUACCUUGGCUUUGUGAUACACUC
RNAcentral lists this ribosomal RNA (408 nucleotides) under uncultured Sebacinales. Its description in RNAcentral is "eukaryotic LSU rRNA". The stretch from base 149 to 408 matches the Rfam family "Eukaryotic large subunit ribosomal RNA", at positions 1 to 256 of the family's 3401-position model. The record is from RNAcentral. Lineage: Eukaryota; Fungi; Basidiomycota; Agaricomycetes; Sebacinales.